CUCUCUGGAUAUCCCAAACAACGGCGAAGACAGUUGGCUAAACCUAAAUCUUUUCCUCACUGUUCAAUGGCUAUGGUUCAGAUUAAUUUUACAGAAAUGCCACUGAGACGCCCUCAUUUCUUCCUUUGACUUUUAGACCUCUCACGAUACUCUUCUUCUCCUUGGCUUCGCUGCUAUUCUGCUCAUCGUCCCGUCACAUUGUUCAGCGAGCGUAGCAGCAGCUAUAACAACCGGCGAUUGGAUCAACGGAACCCUAAAGCAACUCUCCUUGGAUCAAUAAGUGGCCUCCGUCUUCUAGAAAGAAAUUGAACGGCGGAGGAGGAAGGAUAAAGAACUGACCGCGAUUGAGAGGAUCGUUCUUCGGCUAUCAGAACUUAGGAUUAGCUUCUGAAGACAGAGGAUAGUUUUUUUUUUUUUUUUUGUUUAACCUGGGGGUAUCCCAGGCCCAGAAGGCCCAGACUAAUCCCCAAGGGGAAGGAAUGCCCACGGAUAGACGCCCCUCUCAGUUUUUCAAAUGGGCCGAAAGCAUGGCCCAUAUCCGUGUGGGUGACAAGAGCGUUGCAAGGUAGUUCCCUCCGGCCUGGAAAGACAGAGGAUAGUUGAGGAUUAUAGGAAACUGAUUUGAUUUAACUCUAAUGAGUGAGCAGCGUCGAACUGGUGGCACGGUGAUAUAGAGAGCAGGAAGUGUGAUGCUGGUUUAUCAUAGGCGUGACUAUCAAGGACCUUCUGCAAAGAUUGCCGUGAAGCGAGGUGUCCAGGAUACAAAUAACAAACUGAUGGCGGAUGAGAUAAAGACAUUGACAGGGGGUGUCUUGCUACUCAUAAACAAGUAUUACAUUGUAAUAUAACGUGGAAAGGACUUCCUUCCUUCGAGUGUGGCACGACAAGAAUUAACAAAAGAGAUUCAAGAUGUCGAAGAGAGGGUAAGAAAUCGAGACAUUAAAGCUACUCAGCCUGUUGGAGACAAAGUACCAGCGGAAGCUGGCACUCUGGCCAAAUUUUAUGAGGCUCAAGCUUGCUGGAGAAAAGAAUAACACCGGACCAUCGAAAAAGAUGAUUGAAGAUGCUUCAAGGAUCGCAAGUGCCAGAGUUGUGAAACGAAUCCAGCACAAACUAAACCUUGUAUAUCCGUGGUGUGUUCGACGGGGUGAUCGAGAAUAUGCAUCUGCAUUGGAAGCACAAGGUACUGGUGAAGCUUAUAUCGAAACAGAGGAGGAGUUUUGCGUUUGUUGAAGACACAGCUCGGUUUACUAGAGAAUACGAGAGCGGUGGAGUUCUUGUGGCAAUAGAGAAGGUUCCUAAAGGGUUUGCACUUAUCUAUUACCGUGGAAAGAAUUACCAGAGACCAAGAAAUCUCCUGACAAAAGCAAAAGCAUUGAAACGUUCCAUUGCUAUGCAACGCCGUGAAGCAAUGGAACGUUCCAUUGAAACGUUGCAUUGAAACGUUAUAUUGAAAUGUUCUGCUCUUUUCACUUCAUUCACUACUUAUUGGUUCUUGCAGACUUCAAAAAAAAACGUCAUAGAGUGAAUCAGAAUGGGAGAAUGAUGAUGAUGACGAUGGCGAGGAGGAGAAAGAUGAUGAGAGUGAUUGGGACAGAGCCGGUCCUAGAAAUAUUUAGGCUAGAAGCCAAAAUUUUUUUUUGGCAUGUUAAAUAUUUAAAACAAAAAAAAUUGUAAAAAGAAUGACACAAGAGUUUGAACCCAUGACCUGAUCAAGCCAACUGUAGUACAAUAACCAAAUUGCCUGAAGAGAGUUUUGUUACAAAAAGGAGUUUUGUUACAAAAAGGGCCGGAACUUUUCUAAAUAUUUCACAGUUGGAAGCACGUGCUUCACCUGCUUCUAUCAAGGGCCGCUUCUGGAUUGGGACGUAGUUUUGAAGAAGAAGCUGAUUAUCCAUUACGCUAAGGAUAAAGCGUGCAUCUUUUUUUUUCUUAUCUCAGGAUAUUAUAGCUGAGACUGAGAGUGAUCUCGGUGUCUGUCUGAUGUUAUGAAACAUAAAUUGAUUUUGUCUAUUGCUGAGAAAACAAGAGUAAGUGAAGAUUUUAGAAUCA
This is a long non-coding RNA of Raphanus sativus (radish), 2052 nucleotides long. RefSeq lists it as uncharacterized. The record is from RefSeq and is a predicted model, not a curated record. The transcript is spliced from 4 exons. NCBI's taxonomy places the organism in Eukaryota, Viridiplantae, Streptophyta, Magnoliopsida, Brassicales, Brassicaceae.